This 433-nucleotide ribosomal RNA is filed under the name uncultured bacterium. RNAcentral describes it as "partial 16S ribosomal RNA". It matches the Rfam family "Bacterial small subunit ribosomal RNA", at positions 36 to 507 of the family's 1533-position model. The record is from RNAcentral.
CCCUCCCUCUGGCGGCAUGCCUAACACAUGCAGGUCGAACGAGACCUUCGGGUCUAGUGGCGCACGGGUGCGUAACGCGUGGGAACCUGCCCUUAGGUUCGGAAUAACUCCCCGAAAGGGGUGCUAAUACCGGAUAAUGUCUUCGGACCAAAGAUUUAUCGCCUUUGGAUGGGCCCGCGUUGGAUUAGCUAGUUGGUAGGGUAAAAGCCUACCAAGGCGACGAUCCAUAGCUGGUCUGAGAGGAUGAUCAGCCACACUGGGACUGAGACACGGCCCAGACUCCUACGGGAGGCAGCAGUGGGGAAUAUUGGACAAUGGGCGAAAGCCUGAUCCAGCAAUGCCGCGUGAGUGAUGAAGGCCUUAGGGUUGUAAAGCUCUUUUACCCGGGAUGAUAAUGACAGUACCGGGAGAAUAAGCUCCGGCUAACUCCGUG